GCAUGGUGGGAUGUGGUGGGGCUGGCAACUCUAUAAAGGGGCUCUGGCUGCCCCCACACAGUACAGGGAAGGGCAGCAAACAGAAAGGAGAUGCUGGAUCAAAAGCCAUGUGAGCCUGUUGCCUCAAGCCACCUCAGCCAGCAGCUGAUUCCACUUUGCAGCCCACGUGGAAUUUGCCACAGGACUUCUGUUGACUAUUUUCCUGCCUGUGUUUUGGGCCACGGACAUUAGACCUACUCCUCUAAGUACUGAAAGGCCAUCAUAACGUCUCCCCGGAGCCCUCCCUUCUCCAGGAUGAAGACGACCUAAACUCUCUCAGCCUGUUCUCAAAGCAGAGAGGUUCCAGCCCUCAGGUCACAUUAGAGACCCCCUCUGGAUCCAUUCCAACAGGUCAAUGUGUCUCCUGCGCAGAGGGCUCCAGAGAUGGACACAGUGCAAGUGAAACACCAUCGAGCCCAACCUCCUCGCCACGGGCAGUGCCAUCUCCCACUCACUCAGCUUGCUCAAGCCUCCAUCCAACCUGACCUCCACCACUUCCCUGGCAAUUUGUUCGUCCACCCUCCUCCUGCUCCAGCAUUCCUCAGCAGGGCCACCGCGGGCACAGGCUGCCGCACCUGAGGUGGCUGGCGGCGGCCACCUGCCGCAGCAGGAUGGGGAAGCGGGCGAGGAUGGGGCUGCUGCGGGCACGGGGCACGUCGAGCUGCAGCUGCCGGCGCAGGUAGCCACCGAGCAGGUGGAGGCGAGCGGCGGGCAGGUACCGGCCGGCUUCCACGGCGCCCCACACCUUCUCGGGGACGUCCAGCAGCAGCUUCAGCUGCGCCGCCGCCCGGUAGAAGCUUUCCUGAACAGGCGGCCGAGCCUGGAGGGAAGGAAGGAGGGGAUCAGAGCGGCCUCCGGGAUCACCCCCGGCCGCACCGCUGCCCCUCGCCCCUCUCACCGGCGCUGCGGGGCCAGGCCGGGCCGUCCCGCCCCGCUGCAGGCCCCGCACGGCACCCAGGAGGCGCUCGGCGCUGAACCGCAUCUCGGCGAUAGUGUCGGCCGCUUCGAUCAGGUCGCGGUACCGCUCGCCCACCAUCUGCCGCAGCUCCUCCCGCUUCUGCUCGAUGCCGGCCCGCAGCCGCCGCUCCACCUCCCGCAGCUCGGCCGCUGUGUGCGCCUCGAAGAGCGCCUCGGCGUCCGCGCCCCGCGCCGCCAUGGCUGCCUCGGCCGGGGGCCGGAGCGGCGCUGACGUGGCCGCCGCCGCCGCCAUCUUUGCGGCGGGAAAGAGGAGGGCACUUCCGGGAGGGGAGGGCGCCGCCGCCGCCAUGUUUGUGACGGGAAGGUGAGGGCACCGCCAUCUUUGUGCAGGGCAGAGCCGCUGCCGGGCGUCGUUGCCAUGGCGACUCGGCGCCGGGCAGCGGAGGUGGAGAAAACGGGGAUUAGAAAGAUAGAUAUUUGUUUGAUUGUGCGUCCU
Long non-coding RNA from Pogoniulus pusillus (Red-fronted tinkerbird), 1453 nucleotides. RefSeq lists it as uncharacterized. The record is from RefSeq and is a predicted model, not a curated record. The transcript has 3 exons. NCBI's taxonomy places the organism in Eukaryota, Metazoa, Chordata, Aves, Piciformes, Lybiidae.